CUGCCUGUGUGUCUCCCGGCAGGUUCUUCUUCAGCACUGUGGCCUCGGCCACAGCCGGCAUGCUCUGCCUGAUCGCCGUCCUGCUGUACAUCCUCGUCCAGUACCUCGUGAACCCCGGGGUGCUCCGCACGGACCCUAAGUACGAAGGAUGGCCCCUGAGGCUGCCAGUUCCAGAGAGGGUCCGUCACCCAAAGACAUCCACACUGAAUCCAACCCUCUGCCGUUCUGCCUUGCCCGGCCCUCUGCCGUUCUGCAUUACGCCUGAUUUUUGGAAGUGUUGUGGUUUUGAGUGUUGGCAGCCCAGUGUCACAGAGGACCAUAUCUUAGAAAUGACCCCAGGCGAGAGCUGUGGCUUUCCUGUUCUGUUUGAAGGCGGCUGUUUUAGGGUGCAGAGGGUCCAGGGACACAGCGUGGGCCAUGAGGAAGGGAUGGGUGCUGGGGCCU
RNAcentral lists this small RNA (444 nucleotides) under Pongo abelii (Sumatran orangutan). RNAcentral describes it as "retained intron". The record is from RNAcentral. Lineage: Eukaryota; Metazoa; Chordata; Mammalia; Primates; Hominidae.